CAGUGGGAAGAUUAAAUGAGGUAAUUCAUAUAAAGCACUUAAUAGAGUGAUUAGAAAAUCUGAAGUGUUUAAUAAUAGUUAAUGAGUUUUAGUUACCAUUAUGGGUAUUGAUUUGUUUUCUCUCUUAUUACAGAUACAAAGGUGGUCAGUAAGGAAACUCAACUUAAACAAAGAUGGCAUUGAGCAUGUAAAUGAAGAUAUGUGCUUAAUAGUAAAAGUAAAAUUAUCCUUUCCAUAAAGAACAUGAAAUUACAAAUCUAUGGAGAGAAGAAGUUCUUGAUCUGGAUCCUUCAUCUUUUGGAGAUUUGCCCCCUGCACUUGUGGAUCCAGUUUGGGGAGGUCCAGUUUGGCUCUUUGAUAAUGUCUCUGGAGCUUGAAAUGAUUUCCAGUGGUGAAGGCCCGUCAUGACCCAUGUACCUCAUAUGAGCUCUCUAGGUUAGACAACUGGCAAGAUAAAAAUGAACAUGAAAUGUUGAAAACAACCAAGAGAAAGCUAUAACCAUUGUUCACUGUCUUUCCCUUCAAUACAAUACAAUAAAAGGAGAUUCCAUAAAAUCA
RNAcentral lists this long non-coding RNA (558 nucleotides) under Felis catus (domestic cat). Its description in RNAcentral is "lncRNA (ENSFCAG00000044853.2)". The record is from RNAcentral. Lineage: Eukaryota; Metazoa; Chordata; Mammalia; Carnivora; Felidae.